UCGUAGUUGGAAAAAAUUAGAGUGUUUAAAGCAGGCUUGUGCUAUGAAUACAUCAGCAUGGAAUAAUAAUUUAGGACUUGGUUCUAUUUUGUUGGUUUCUAGGACUGAAGUAAUGAUUGAGAGGGAUCGUUGGGGUGCUAGUAUUCAGCGGCCAGAGGUGAAAUUCUUGGAUUCGCUGAAGACUAACUUAUGCGAAAGCAUUCACCAAGGAUGUCUUCUUCUGUCUCUUAUACACAUCUCCGAGCCCACGAGACGAGUUCA
This 261-nucleotide ribosomal RNA is filed under the name uncultured Rhogostoma. RNAcentral describes it as "partial 18S ribosomal RNA". The stretch from base 10 to 221 matches the Rfam family "Eukaryotic small subunit ribosomal RNA", at positions 759 to 974 of the family's 1831-position model. The record is from RNAcentral. Lineage: Eukaryota; Cercozoa; Thecofilosea; Cryomonadida.